GAUGAACGCUGGCGGCGUGCCUAAUACAUGCAAGUCGAGCGAACAGAUGAGAAGCUUGCUUCUCUGAUGUUAGCGGCGGACGGGUGAGUAACACGUGGGUAACCUACCUAUAAGACUGGGAUAACUCCGGGAAACCGGGGCUAAUACCGGAUAAUAUUUUGAACCGCAUGGUUCAAUAGUGAAAGACGGUUUCGGCUGUCACUUAUAGAUGGACCCGCGCCGUAUUAGCUAGUUGGUAAGGUAACGGCUUACCAAGGCGACGAUACGUAGCCGCCCUGGGAGGGUGAUCGGCCACACUGGAACUGAGACACGGGCCAGACUCCUACGGGAGGCAGCAGUAGGGAAUCUUCCGCAAUGGGCGAAAGCCUGACGGAGCAACGCCGCGUGAGUGAUGAAGGUCUUCGGAUCGUAAAACUCUGUUGUUAGGGAAGAACAAAUUUGUUAGUAACUGAACAAAUCUUGACGGUACCUAACCAGAAAGCCACGGCUACUACGUGCCAGCCGCCGCCGUAA
RNAcentral lists this ribosomal RNA (513 nucleotides) under uncultured bacterium. Its description in RNAcentral is "partial 16S ribosomal RNA". It matches the Rfam family "Bacterial small subunit ribosomal RNA", at positions 28 to 523 of the family's 1533-position model. The record is from RNAcentral.